AAAAUUAAAAAAAUGCUUGAAAAAUGAGUAUCGGAACUCUUUUCCAAAGUCUUUCGGUACACAAAAAUUGACUACCGGAACUCUUUUCCAAAGUCUUUCGGUACACAAAAAUUAACUACCGGAACUCUUUUCCAAAGUCUUCCGGUAUACAAAAAAAAAUAGUAAAAAAAUGUUUGAAAAAUGAGUACCGGAACUCUUUUGCAAAGUCUUUCGGUACACAAAAAUUGACUACCAGAACUCCUU
RNAcentral lists this long non-coding RNA (243 nucleotides) under Lathyrus oleraceus (garden pea). Its description in RNAcentral is "Pisum sativum (pea) long non-coding RNA (PSAT_LNC012853)". Lineage: Eukaryota; Viridiplantae; Streptophyta; Magnoliopsida; Fabales; Fabaceae. The record is from RNAcentral.